UUAUCGUAGAUGUACAGCAGCACACCACAAAGGACAAAUAUGAUCAUAUAAACUUUUUCUCAGGUUUACGUUUUCCAGAGUACAUCCAGUAACCUGAUGCACAUCACAAAUGGCCCCAGAAAACCAUUACGCAUACUUCAUACCACUAAGGACUUUUCUACAUAGAGAGAACACUACAGAAGCCCUCUGCACAGGCGCUGCUAUACAUUAUGUCAGGGAUAGGCACCCUUCGCCACUUCAAAUGUUGUGGACUACAUCUCCCAUAAUGCUCUUACAUCCAUCAUGCUGGAAAAGCAUCAGAGGAGAUGUAGUCAACAACACAUUGAGUGACAAAGAUUGCCUACAUUUGGCAGCCCUCUCUAGUCUCAGCAUAACACUGUUUUGGAUAGAAAUUAAUGUAGGUAAAAUGUCUAUUUAGUGGGGGGCGGAGCCUGGACACCAAGCCGUGCAGAUGUGUCUGACACGAGCUCCUGCCACACGGGCCGAAAAAGGGGGAAAAUCAGGGGGCCAUAUGGCCCAAGACCCAUCCAUGGUGCACCACCCAAGUCGGGGGUGCACUGCUGAACAGAAAGACAUCUCCCCGAAGUCCGUAGCGGCCAGGAUUGCAAAGUUACAAACGUGGCCUACUGGGACUGGAGCCGGUGGGAGACUGCAGCCCUCCCCGGUGCAAAGGCCCUCAAGCGCCUCACAUAAUUACAAAUCACUGCAUAGGCCAGACAUACUGUACUAAAGGCAUGACACUGUACAAUCAGAUACAAAGAUAAGCGUAUAUAGCUAUGAUCUGUAACGCAAAUCACUUGCCUUUAUAAGCGUAAGAAAUUAUCCUGUUUAUGUAACUACUUUUAAAAAAAAAGUGCAAUGUCAUUAAUGCCAUGUGCUUAAGCGUGGAUGCAAACUUGAUUGCUCCAGCUAUUGUGGCAGUGCAAAUCCGCCUGUUAAACUUAUGCACGAACAAAAAUAAAGAAUUAAAAAAAAAAAAGUCUAUUUACUAUGUAUUCAGUAUUUAUUCAAAAUGGCUGUUAAAGCACCCCCUCCCAUCGACCAAACACCAAGUGUAACAAGAUGGCGUCUCCAUCCGGAGUAAAAUCCCGAGAUGAUGGUGACAUCACACUUUGGAGGAAGUGCAUUAGAUAAGACACUUGAUCAAUUAAAGAUGUAUACUCUGUUAUCUCAUGUUUUUUGCAUAUGAUGUAUUUUCUGCUUUAUAAGGGGUCUGCCGCCCCUCUAAGUAAACAUUCCGAAGUUUUUC
Molecule: non-coding RNA, 1249 nt
Organism: Pelobates cultripes (western spadefoot toad)
Lineage: Eukaryota; Metazoa; Chordata; Amphibia; Anura; Pelobatidae
Source: the annotation of a GenBank genome assembly